UUUCGCAAUGCCCGAAAGGGUGACGAAGCGACGCCGCGUGUGGGAAGAAGGCCUUCGGGUUGUAAACCACUGUCGGGAGUUAAGAAAUGCAAGGAUAUGAAUAGUGUCUUUGCUUGACUAAGGCUCCGGAGGAAGCCACGGCUAACUCUGUGCCAGCAGCCGCGGUAAUACAGAGGCGGCAAGCGUUGUUCGGAAUUAUUGGGCGUAAAGAGCACGUAGGCGGCUAUGUAAGUCGGUUGUGAAAGCCUUCCGCUCAACGGGAGAACAGCAUCCGAUACUACAUGGCUUGAGUGCGGGAGGGGAGAGUGGAACUUCUGGUGGAGCGGUGAAAUGCGUAGAUAUCAGAAGGAACGCCGGCGGCGAAAGCGGCUCUCUGGCCCAUAACUGACGCUGAGUGUGCGAAAGCUAGGGGAGCAAACGGGAUUAGAUACCCCGGUAGUCCUAGCCGUAAACGAUGGGCACUAAGUAGAGGGGUUUU
This 478-nucleotide ribosomal RNA is filed under the name uncultured Planctomycetales bacterium. Its description in RNAcentral is "bacterial SSU rRNA". It matches the Rfam family "Bacterial small subunit ribosomal RNA", at positions 364 to 832 of the family's 1533-position model. RNAcentral also lists the same sequence under 2 other names. The record is from RNAcentral. Lineage: Bacteria; Pseudomonadati; Planctomycetota; Planctomycetia; Planctomycetales.